This 861-nucleotide unclassified non-coding RNA is filed under the name Leishmania donovani. Its description in RNAcentral is "gene:unknown". Lineage: Eukaryota; Euglenozoa; Kinetoplastea; Trypanosomatida; Trypanosomatidae. The record is from RNAcentral.
CAGCUGUGCCGGUCCCUGAGUCUUGCGUGCGCAUGUGCGUGUGUGAACCUUUUCUUUCUUGAUUCAUGGGCGCACGUGCACACCGUGAUGCAUCUCGUGUCCUCUCUUGUCAUUUCUCUUGUUCGUGUUUUGCGAUUACGGUCGUUCGAUAUCUGCACCACCGCCAAACCAAAAGGGUGCCGACCAACGCGCCCCCGUGGCCCCUCCAUGUCUUUCCAUAUCGGCUUGGGGCACGCUCUCUCGUUUGUCCGCCCUCUUGUUUGCUGCAGCACUCUGUCUCUUUUUCUCCCUCCCCACAAUCUCUGUUACCGUGGGCAUGAGAGGACCGGCGCGAUACGGGUUGUAAGCGAAGCGGCACACGUGUGCCAAGAGUGACCCCUAGCGGAGAUCGGCACUGCAGACGGCGAGGGUGCACAGAUGUCAUGUGUCGUUGCACGAGAGCGAAGAAGUGUCACAAAGGGUGGGUGAGGCUAGCGAUGGGCACGGGUGCCCGAAAAAGCUUAAGACAAGAUCAAUGCACAUGUUUUCGGAGAAAGAAACAGCUAGGGUAGGUUGAGCAAGUGCGUCGCUUCUCUUUAAACGGUGAGGUAGUGGUGUCAACACUGAGGGCGUGCUCCUGGGGUGAGCGACAUGUGUCCCUUCGAGCACCGCAGGCAGCGUGAAGGCUGCAAUGCGUUCGCGCGAUGGUGCCUUUUUUGGCCGCCGCUUUCGCUUUCGCCAGCCCCUCUCUCCCUCACUUCCUCUCUGACAGCACCCGAGCACCAAUCGCGCGACCGUCAGCGUUACUUUAGCAGUCUUUUCGGUGCACGGCAUCGCGCUCCCCCCUUCUGCCCUUCCUUUUCGUCUUUUGUUUUGCCGCAG